Molecule: RNA transcript, 789 nt
Organism: Nicotiana tabacum (common tobacco)
Lineage: Eukaryota; Viridiplantae; Streptophyta; Magnoliopsida; Solanales; Solanaceae
Source: RefSeq, a predicted model, not a curated record
CACCCAUAGUUGAGAAAAAAACCUCUCCCACCCAUAGCAGCAUCAUAAAACAAAAUUUUGGCUCAAACUAUUCCCUCUUAAAACUUAAAAGUUAAAAAAUAAGAAUUCCACCCAUAGCAGUUUUGUAAAACACACGCCUGUAGGAAUCCCAAAUUGAUCUAUCAAGCAAAUUUCUCACUUGAAGGGUUAGGGCUUACUACCAUUGUUUGAAAUGUGGUUGCAUGUUAUUAUUGACAAACCCAAAUUAAUCUGUCAAAUAAAGAUAGCUCGCUGAUAAAAUUAUUAGAGUUAGGGCUCCAUCAAAGAGUUAGGGCUUAAAACCGAAGCGCACAAAUCAAGCAUUGAAGUUUGCUGUUCAGUAAGCUGCGGUGAUGCAGAGUUGAAUGAGAUGUGCACAGCUCUUAUUAUUUAUAUUGGGUCUGAACCAUCAUAUGCACUGAAUCCAGAUUGGGAAGGAGUGAGAUCGACACGUACUCGGACAAAUCUGACACUUUUUCAUUCACUUAAAGCAACAGACUUUUGUUGUUUAGAAACUUAGGAACUUUUUGGCGAUGCUCUGAAAAUGGUGGCGAGAAGUCAAUUUCAUAUGUUUGAAGUUAUUGAUCAAGACAAUUGGACAAUUGUGAUGUUUAUUAGCCAUGAUACUUAAUGAAUAUGUUCAGUCUUGUAAACUAUAUUGCUAGAAUGCACCUUGAAGUAUUUGGCUUUGUUAGUUAAUGUAAUGUACACGAAAUGUUUGUUUUUCGAGGUUCAUUGCAAUAUAUUUGAUUUUUUUCUUAUUUAUUAUUU